AAGAAGAAGAAGGAGGGCGUCAGUUCUUCCACGCUUCCAGCGUGAACCAUUUUUUUCAAACUCCAAGAACCAAGAUUCCUCUGAUCACCUGCCUGCAUUAGUCCCCCUCCUUGAGCUCACCUGCCUGUCCGCCCUCCUACACCAUCUGCACUGGAGUAGAGAGACACUGGAUUUGCACGCGGACACCACCCUCCCUGGCUCUUGCCAAGCCUCAGCCUCUACCUGAAGACGAUCCCGCCUGACAGCACCACCCCUGUGACCCAGCACUUUGACAAUAAAC
Fundulus heteroclitus (mummichog) is the source of this 280-nucleotide long non-coding RNA. RefSeq lists it as uncharacterized. The record is from RefSeq and is a predicted model, not a curated record. Lineage: Eukaryota; Metazoa; Chordata; Actinopteri; Cyprinodontiformes; Fundulidae. The transcript has 3 exons.